AUUACAAAUAAAUGUCGCCAGUUGAUAAAAGCAGCGACUAUCGCAUUGGUUCACGAUCGCAAAGACACGUAGACGCGGAGAUAAGAAAUUCGAAAUGUGUAUUUGUUGACGCUAAUAACCGAUCAUGAUACUGCGAUCGCUUUCUGAGGCUUAUCACUCAUCUGUAAAUGGUUCCAAUGACCGAAAGUUCUAUUGGAACAGUACCAUGGCUUUUUGCGCUACACUAUUGUCACGAAAUCUCCAUGUAAAGCCAUAACAAUGUUAUCGAGUUGAAUUUAUACAAGAGAGUUUGACCAGAUUUGCAAUAUGGCUUAUAUCAUAAAUUACUCUCAACAUGCUAAGCUCGGGUGCAACCGAAAAUUUUAUACUCUUGCAACUUGGAAAUCUAUCCAGCAUAAAGUCACCUGGAAGUACGAAAAUUUUUGUAUUAGGUGUAUUGCAGCUCAGAGAGUAAUUAACCCAAUUCAACCCAUUUUGGAUACACAGAGACGCUAUUGUCAGGAAAGGUUUCUGUAUGAAUUUCAAUUGUAUAUCUCACACAUUAACCGAUAUUUUCGGUCAAAAGUCAACUACACAAGGUGCAUUCCAAAGUAAACAGGACUUUAAAAAAAAAAAAACAGAACAAAAGGUUUUUUCGGCAAAAUCAAGUUAGUUCAAUAGUUUCCUUCUGCUUCAAUACAGCAUUUUGCAUGGUCCAAAAGCAUGUCGAACGAGUGUUUUAGCUCGUUGGCCGGUAUGGCUGCCAGUAUGCCGGUACAAGCCUUUUGAAUGGCCUCUACGUCUGCAUAACGCUUUCCUUUAAUAGGAAAAUGCAUUCUUCCGAAAAAGAAGAAGGCGCACGGUGCCAUUUCAGGUGAAUACGGGGAGUGGUUAGUGGUUAAAAUGUGAUUUUUGGUCAAAUAAUCGGUCCCAAGCCUUGAAUCGAACGUUGGAUAAUGAGCAAUUUUUAGUCGUCAGUCAAUUUGUGCGGAACAAACCGUGCAUACACCUUUCGUAAGCUCAAAUGUUCGGUAAAAAUGCGAUAAAUCGAUGUUUCGGAGAUGUUAAAUUCCAUAUCCAUGAAUUACAAUGAUGAUUUCGGCUGAUUUUCGAUGAACUCACGCACAGUUUCGUUGGAAUUUCCGGUGAUCACGGAUUUUGAUUGGCCCACAUGUUGAUCGUCAUUUAUGUCCUCACGACCACUUUGAAAACGUUGAAACCAAUCGUGCACUCUGCUACGGGAUAGGCAGUCAUCGCCAUAAUUUUGUUUCACCAAUUGAAACGUUUCAGGUAAAAGUUUUACCAAUUUUAAAACAAAAUUUAAUGUUGGCUCUUUGUUCGAAGCUCAUUUUCGCACCGAUAACACAAACAUACUGACACUUAAAACACAAUAGCUUCACUUCCAAUAGAUGAAAUGUCAUGAAACUCUCACUGGACAAUCGACAAAAGAUAGCAGAUUUUAACGCACCAGUCCACAUAUGGAUGGCGCCACCAGGGGGCGCUAGAUUCAAAAAGUCCUGUUUACUUUGGAACACACCUUGUAGAUACUGGGUGCCGCAUAUUCGGUGCCUAAGGGCUUGAGCGGUUUUGGAUUGGUUUCGACAACUUUUGGUGAUAAGGUGCCCUACUUUAAGAGAAUAUUACUGCAAAAUUUUAUUCCGUUAUAUUAUUUACUUCUUAAUUUGUGUAGUGGAAAGUGAAAGAAUCAUAACUCACCAAUAUGGCUGUAAGGGACUAGGGUGGUCUACAAAUUAAAUUAAGAGUAAAGGUUUUGGAGUAAAUAUUUUUAAAGUAAUAUCAAAAUGGAUUCUCAUAAAAGUAUAUAACCUUUUUGGGAGCCAUUUCAGACGUAUAGUAUUUGAUAAGUUUGGAGAUAAAUGCAGUUAGUAGACUUCCAAUCGAAGCUCAUUAGGGCUGAAAUAGCAAAACUGCUUUGUAAUAAUCAAUCUGAUAGAGAACUAUUUUUACAGAAAUUUACUAUUUUUAUAUUCUGAACAGGGUAUAUUAAGUUAAGUUAAGUUAAGUUAAGGCCCAAUAAAAAGUAUAUACAUAUAUAUAAAUCGUAAUAUACAUUGCGUGCUGGACGUAUUCUAUUCGGUUGAAUAUUAUCCAGUAAUGAAUGCUGGACCUCAAGAUGUUGACCAUAAGUUGAGCGAUGCCCGCGAAAUAAAAUAAGACUAUCGAAAAAAAUAGAAAAAUUAACCGUCAAGGAGGAAUGGUAUACUUUGUCUAGACGUGGUGAGUGGACGUCAAAAAGAAGAGGGCUCCAGACGAAGACAUCAAAAAAGUCCACAAAAUAGUUUUGGAUGACCGCAAAGUGAAGUUGCUUGAGAUAACAAGUACUCUAAAGAUAAAAACUGAACAUGUACAGCAUAUCAUUCACGCAUAUUUUGGUAUAACAAAGCUCUGUGCAAAGUGGGUGCUCCGCGAGCUCAUUUUUGACCAAAAACAACGAAGAGUUGAUGAUUCGGAGCAGUGUUUGGAGAUGUUCCAGCAUAAAAAGUCUAGUAUUUGCGUCCAUAUGUGACAUCGUCCCGCUCCAAAGCGUGAAAAACGCAAUAGUAGGCUGGCAAGGUUAUGGCGUCUGUAUUUUUGGUACCAUUUUUAUCGACUUCCUUGAAAGAGGAAGAACCAUCAACAGCGACUAUAAUAUAGCAUUAUUGAAUAUUUGAAAGAAAAGAAAGUGCUGUUUCACCAAGAGAAUGCACCGUGUCCUUAGUGAGUAAAAAAGAUUACAAACCUCCAUGAAUAGUGCUUCGAAUUGCUUCUGCAUUAUAUCGUAUUCUCUAUAUCUGGCACCAGCCACUAUUCCCUGUUCUCAGAUCUCAAAAGAAAGCUCUCUGGGAAGAAAUUUUCUUUAAAUGAAGUGGUGACCGCCGGAACUGAGGCCUAUUUUGAAACAAAGGCCAAAUUGUACUAUAAAAAUGCUAUCGAAAAGUUGGAGGGUCACUAUAAUCAGUGUUUCACACUUGAACCAGAGAACAUAAAAACACUCACUAAAAACAAUAUGUUUUUAUGUUCUCUGCUUGAACACAGUCACCUAAAACUAAGCGAGAUAGAUAUAGGGUUAUAUAUAUAUGUAUAUAUGUAUAUUAUAUCCAUAACUAAGAGCUAAAUUAAGAUAUAAAACUCUAAUUUGGUACAGGGCAUCGCUGUAGUAACGGGCACCUGUGAGCAAAACAGUUUGAAAAAGUGGGCGUGGCCCGCCCUUUAAUAAGCUUAAUGUACUCCUAAACCCAUAAAGUUAGAAUAACCGAAAUAAAUUAAAUAUUAUAAGGAAUCCUACUGACAGUGUGAAAAUAGACCUUGUUUUAUUUAUUUUUUUAAUUUUAAUUUUUA
This is a long non-coding RNA of Bactrocera neohumeralis, 3318 nucleotides long. RefSeq lists it as uncharacterized. The record is from RefSeq and is a predicted model, not a curated record. The transcript has 3 exons. Lineage: Eukaryota; Metazoa; Arthropoda; Insecta; Diptera; Tephritidae.